RNAcentral lists this transfer RNA (68 nucleotides) under Diploderma vela. RNAcentral describes it as "tRNA-Lys". The record is from RNAcentral. Lineage: Eukaryota; Metazoa; Chordata; Lepidosauria; Squamata; Agamidae.
CACUAGGAAGCUUGCAAGUAGCACUAGCCUUUUAAACUAGAAAAGGGACACACCAUUCCCCCUAAUGA